Long non-coding RNA from Melospiza melodia melodia, 390 nucleotides. RefSeq lists it as uncharacterized. Lineage: Eukaryota; Metazoa; Chordata; Aves; Passeriformes; Passerellidae. The record is from RefSeq and is a predicted model, not a curated record. The transcript has 3 exons.
CUAGUCCCUUCCAACCCCAACCAUUCUGUGAUUUCAAAAUGAGUUGAGGAGUGGCUGCUGUGUACUUUCCAAAUGAGUGCAGUGUGACAUCUGUGGCCCACAUGAACCUCACUCAGGCCAGCUGUUGGUACCCUGUCAGUGAAGCCAGGUCUGCCAUGCCCUUGCAUGAGGCUUUGGCUUCUUCAGCAAAAAAGGAGGCAGUGAAACAUGACCAAAAUGUUCCUGUUGACAUCUAGUGAUGAGAGUCACACAGCUAUGACUGCACCCUGCUUCGUUUCGACAUUUCCUCGUUAGCCUGAUGGGAACUCGCUAAAAGCUGCUGCCCCACGCUGCUUCCAUCCUCAGCAGGAAAGGAGAUGGUUUCACAGCCUGUGCAAGGGCCAGAGGCUG